AACAUCAGAUUGAAAGCUCCAAAACAAUUAUAAAAACAAGAAAGAAUAGUGAUCUUUCAACCUGUUGAA
RNAcentral lists this small RNA (69 nucleotides) under Salix viminalis (osier). Lineage: Eukaryota; Viridiplantae; Streptophyta; Magnoliopsida; Malpighiales; Salicaceae. The record is from RNAcentral.